AAGCAGAAGAGACACAGGAAGGAAGAGCAGGGGGCCAGACUAGAGCAGAGAGAAGCAACAUGACUGACCCACCCACCUACCCACUCUCCGAGCCAGAGCCCUCUGCCUCUCAGAAACCUUCUGUCUCCCCCCUCCAUGGCUGUGUGCGCUAAGGAGUGCAUGCAGCUGUCAGUCCAGAGCUGCACACAUUUGUAAGGACUUCUCUUCCCCAGAGGAUCCUAAAUGUGCGGCACUUAUCCACAGGGGUCGCGGAAUCGCAGCCACCUCUGGGGCAGAACAGCAGUGCUACAUAACAGCUUAGCAGAGUGUGUAAAGGAGAAUGCAGCAGGGGGAAUAGAGAGGCCGAAUGGACUGUAGUGGGAGGAAGUGCGGUCAAGUGGCUGGAGGCAGGAUGCCUGGGUCUGUCCCUGGGUCUGCCCCUGGAUAUGCUGUGUGACUUUGGGCAAGUCAUUUUCACCUGCUGGGGGCUCGGUUUGCUCAUCUGUGAUCUAAUGGGGAUGAUAGUGCUGCCCCUCCUGUGGCAGGUGCUUUGAGAUCCUGGGGUGAAAGGUGCAAAUGAUGCUGGAACUGAGCUAACUGCCCAUGUGUUUCUGGGGCCUGGAGCCAAAGAAUUGGGUCCCUUCCGAGACUCACGCCCUGGCCCAUCUGAUCCAUUCGCUCCAGCCUUAACCGGGCACUAAGGAUGGAAAAGGAAGGAGAAGGAGACCCAGGAGGGGGCACUUUACCCAGGACAAAGGACAUGGGGAUGAGGUCCGUGGAGCGGUUGCAGUACUGAGCCACUUUCACAUAGACACGCUUCUGCUCUUCAGUCAGCAACCGCCUGCAGGGACACAAAGAGCCGGGAUCAGGCGCUCACCCCGGUGUGCGUUAUUGCCUGGAACCUCCAACUCCUCUGCGCUCAUCUUUGGAUUCUUCUUCCCCUCACUGCCCUGCACAGGAGCGCUUACUUCUCCCGGCUCUAUCCCUCCCCAAGUGACCCCCCCCCACCAGCCUGCCAUGGAUGGCUCCCUGUGGUAUGUUUCUUAAAGAGUUCCCACUCCAGCUGUCACCCAAGCCAGGGAUCUUCCACUGAUGGGCGCCUGCAGGAUCUCUCCAGUGACAGAUUUUCCCUGAGACUAGCAUUUCCAGAUGUUCUCCAGCUAAAUGGAUGGAUACUCUAAUGGCAGGCACUGUCCAUCAGCAGAAACGGGGUUAAUAAAAGAGAAGCAGCAACAGCAAGUGGGUAAAGGACACAGGUAUUUCCAGCAAGUCCAUGUGCAAGUGAAACAGACUGACUGCUGCACGAAAAGGGAACAGCCUACUACUGCUGCUGGCUCGUGAAAUCAAUCCUUUCUCCCAGGUGGCAGAGGGCUGCCAUAGGUCCUGGGUUCUGUCCCUGGAGUGUGGACAGCCCAUGUGGGGAAGCCGUGCCACAUACUCACCGCCCCAGCGCCUGGAGUCAGGUGGAUCUGUGACGGAUUCAGCCUCCGUUCUUUAAGAAAAAGCAACCGUUCCGCCUUUGAGACUCUGACCAGAUCGGUGUUCCUCAAGCAUCUCUUUAUCGAAUUCCUGAGGUGGGGAAGAGGCUGAGCUAUCCAGGUGCUGUGGCUUAAAAGACUCGUCCUUUCCUCAAACCCUUCUGGAAGGAAACCGUGUAUCACCUGAGCGUCUCGGCUGUGCUAAUCCCCCUCACUUCCAUACCCCGCUGGAUAUUGAUCCCGCCUUGGUGUUGAGUAAUAACUAGUUUGCUGCUGCAUGUUUCGGACUUACCCUGAAGUAACCCCCUGGAAGAAAGCAUU
Trachemys scripta elegans is the source of this 1778-nucleotide long non-coding RNA. RefSeq lists it as uncharacterized. The transcript has 5 exons. The record is from RefSeq and is a predicted model, not a curated record. NCBI's taxonomy places the organism in Eukaryota, Metazoa, Chordata, Testudines, Emydidae.